AGGGCUGUAGCUCAGUGGUAGAGCACUUGACUUGCAGAUAUGAGACCCUGGGUUUGAUCCUCAGCACUA
Molecule: transfer RNA, 69 nt
Filed under: Ictidomys tridecemlineatus (thirteen-lined ground squirrel)
Lineage: Eukaryota; Metazoa; Chordata; Mammalia; Rodentia; Sciuridae
Description: Spermophilus tridecemlineatus (thirteen-lined ground squirrel) tRNA
Rfam family: tRNA
About the family: Transfer RNA (tRNA) molecules are approximately 80 nucleotides in length. Their secondary structure includes four short double-helical elements and three loops (D, anti-codon, and T loops).
Source: Rfam by way of RNAcentral